Non-coding RNA from Triticum aestivum (bread wheat), 135 nucleotides. NCBI's taxonomy places the organism in Eukaryota, Viridiplantae, Streptophyta, Magnoliopsida, Poales, Poaceae. The record is from Rfam.
UUUGUACUCCCUCUGUCCCAAAAUUCUUGUCUUAAAUUUGUCUAAAUACGGAUGUAUCUAGUUACAUUUUAGUGUUAGAUACAUCCGUAUCUAAAAAAAUGUAAGACAACAAUUUUGGGACGGAGGGAAUACUAC